GAUGAACGCUGGCGGCGUGCCUAAUACAUGCAAGUCGAGCGAACAGACGAGGAGCUUGCUCCUCUGACGUUAGCGGCGGACGGGUGAGUAACACGUGGAUAACCUACCUAUAAGACUGGGAUAACUUCGGGAAACCGGAGCUAAUACCGGAUAAUAUAUUGAACCGCAUGGUUCAAUAGUGAAAGACGGUUUUGCUGUCACUUAUAGAUGGAUCCGCGCCGCAUUAGCUAGUUGGUAAGGUAACGGCUUACCAAGGCAACGAUGCGUAGCCGACCUGAGAGGGUGAUCGGCCACACUGGAACUGAGACACGGUCCUGACUCCUACGGGAGGCAGCAGUUGGGAAUCUUCCGCAAUGGGCGAAAGCCUGACGGAGCAACGCCGCGUGAGUGAUGAAGGUCUUCGGAUCGUAAAACUCUGUUAUUAGGGAAGAACAAAUGUGUAAGUAACUAUGCACGUCUUGACGGUACCUAAUCAGAAAGCCACGGCUAACUACGUG
This 497-nucleotide ribosomal RNA is filed under the name uncultured bacterium. RNAcentral's name for it is "partial 16S ribosomal RNA". It matches the Rfam family "Bacterial small subunit ribosomal RNA", at positions 28 to 507 of the family's 1533-position model. The record is from RNAcentral.